RNAcentral lists this unclassified non-coding RNA (266 nucleotides) under fungal sp. RNAcentral describes it as "partial internal transcribed spacer region". The stretch from base 1 to 45 matches the Rfam family "Eukaryotic small subunit ribosomal RNA", at positions 1787 to 1831 of the family's 1831-position model. The record is from RNAcentral. Lineage: Eukaryota; Fungi.
AGUCGUAACAAGGUAUCCGUAGGUGAACCUGCGGAUGGAUCAUUAUAGGUUAUUUUGAAUGUUGUGUGAACAGUGUGAUUGCGGUUGUGGUGGGUGUGGUAUAUGGUAUAUGGUAUAUUGUAUGAUGUAUGGUAUAUGUGAUAUAAUAUAUAAUAUAAUAUAUAAUAUAAUAUCAUCCACCUUGACAACAUUGACGUACAUUAGUGCUGAAUACAUUAUAUAUAUUGAAAUAUAAACAACUUUCAGCAAUGGAUCUCUUGGCUCUC